CUCCUUUUAAAACCUGCUAUUUUCUUUUUUUCUUCAUAUUUUCAUCCAAGAUUUCUUCCUAUCCUUUUUCGCCAUUCAAGGGAGUUUUCCAAUUUUCUGUUCUUAAUUUUAUGCAGAUCAUCUCGCUAACAGGUAUAUUUUUGUUCUCGCUUCCUCUGUCUUUAUCUUUUCCUUAAAAAUUUUUCUUAUGUUUGAUGGGCAUGAAUUCUGACGAGAGUCGUUACAUUUGUGGAGAACGAUUAGGAAGAGUCCAUCCCUUCCAAUGAACAUGGUUCUUCCUCAGGGUUGAAGGCACAUAAAGUCUUUUCUCCAGCUCUGUAGUUCGACCUGGUCGGACUAUAGUGUCCAUAAUAAAGCAUAGUCAUCCUGUCUUACUUGCACAUUUUGGGGAUGAUGCAGCGAUGGUAGGUCUACUUAGAGAUAAAUUUGGGAAUGAUGCAAGGGAUGAAGUGGGCGAUGAGGAUGCAAGCGAGGAUGGGGGUGGGAACACUUACAUAUUAGAUUAUUGUUGUUAUCUAGGCAAUUAGGGAAAUGGCAUACGAUCUACCGUAUACCUACUUCGAUUGAAAUGAUCAUUCGUUUCCCACAUGAUCGAGCUUUUGAGAUCUUCCAAAAUGUUGGGUAGCCUUUAGCUCUCCCUUAUUUUCAGGCAGUCAUAAGCUCUCUUUUCCACACAUUAUUUAUAGAUUUUUAUUUGCCUAGUGUAUGACUUGUACUCAGCUCCACCCAAAUGGAUGGAGGACUAUUUUUGGACGCUUACUGUUAUGACAUAAGUUGGAUUUUCUAGAGCUUACUGUUGAGCAUUUUAAUGCUCUUUACAACUUCAAAGAGGACAAGAAAAAUUCAGGUGGUAUUAUACACUAGUAUAACACCAAACACGAGGGGCUUUUGUGGUUCUAUAUUCCCCUUCUUCAAUCAAGAGAUGGAAAGAAGAGUUCUUCUUUAUCCAAGGUGACUAGCAUUUCCAUCCAUCUAAGGUGACAAGGGAUGAGGUUGUGCCAACCAGUUAUAACGAAGUAAAUAAGCUAGUAAUUAUUUUAUAUUGUCAAAAUGUUUUAAUGAGCGGGUUACAACUAACUUUUCUUUUUGCAGCUUACCUUACAACACAAGAUCACUUUAGAACUGCAGGAAAGGGUGAAUGAGAUUAGAGCCCUUUACCUUAAGCAGCAAUCCUAUUCAUCGCUGAUAAGUGACUCCAGCCUUUUCCAUGCUAGCUUAUUUGUUGCAAAAGCUUCACCUCUUUCUUAGAAACAUAGAUAUCAAGGGUUUUACAAUAGAUGUGGAUGCCAUUAACAAGUACGUGAAGAUGUGAUGGCUUUACAAAGGACUGCUUAAGAGAAAAAAGCCCCGUAAAGGCAACAUUGAGCCUGAAGGAAACCUUCCUCUUGUUAUAUAAUUUGGCAAUUUCUUUUUGUGAUCUUUUUGGUAAUUUUUGCUUUUUUUGAUGUAGCCUGGGAAUGAUUCUUUUGAAUAAAAUGACUAGUCUUUUUGACCCAUUAUAUGAAUGUUCUUGUUUAAUUUGA
Olea europaea var. sylvestris is the source of this 1523-nucleotide long non-coding RNA. RefSeq lists it as uncharacterized. The transcript has 2 exons. Lineage: Eukaryota; Viridiplantae; Streptophyta; Magnoliopsida; Lamiales; Oleaceae. The record is from RefSeq and is a predicted model, not a curated record.